ACCCAGCCGCGGCGAAAGAAAACUACAAUCAAUAAGCGGAGGAAAAGAAACCAACCGGGAUUGCCCCAGUAACGGCGAGUGAAGCGGCAACAGCUCAAAUUUGAAAUCUGGAGUCUUUGUUGGCUUCCGAGUUGUAAUUUGCAGAGGGAGCCUCGGAGGGCUGGUCGGUCCAAGUGCCUUGGAACAGGAUACCGCAGAGGGUGAGAGUCCCGUAUCCGGCCGACGCAGUGCUCCGUGUGAGGCCUCUUCGACGAGUCGAGUUGUUUGGGAAUGCAGCUCUAAGUGGGUGGUAAAUUCCAUCUAAAGCUAAAUACUGGCCAGAGACCGAUAGCGAACAAGUAGAGUGAUCGAAAGAUGAAAAGCACUUUGAAAAGAGAGUUAAACAGUACGUGAAAUUGUUGAAAGGGAAGCGCAUGGGGGCAGACUUGGACGCGGGGUUCAGGGUCUCUUUUUUGGAGGCGUGUACUUCCCCGCGGACAGGCCAGCAUCGGUUCUGGGGGCCGGACAAAGGCGACGGGAACGUGGCUCUCUUCGGGGAGUGUUAUAGCCCGACGUGCAAUGCGGCCACCUGGGACCGAGGACCGCGCUUCGGCAAGGAUGCUGGCGUAAUGGCCUCAUGCGGCCCGUCUUGAAACACGGACCAAGGAGUCUAACAUCUAUGCGAGUGUUUGGGUGGCAAGCCCGGACGCGCAAUGAAAGUGAACGGAGGUGGGAGCCCUUUCCCUGCGUGGAGGGGGUGCAGCAUCGACCGAUCCGGACGUUUUCUGAAGGAUUUGAGUAAGAGCAUAGCUGUUGGGACCCGAAAGAUGGUGAACUAUGCGUGAAUAGGGUGAAGCCAGAGGAAACUCUGGUGGAGGCUCGCAGCGGUUCUGACGUGCAAAUCGAUCGUCAAAUUUGCGUAUAGGGGCGAAAGACUAAUCGAACCAUUCUAGGUAGCUGGUCCUGCGUGUCUCUCUCUCUCACAUAGAGGAA
Molecule: ribosomal RNA, 972 nt
Filed under: Scolecobasidium constrictum
Lineage: Eukaryota; Fungi; Ascomycota; Dothideomycetes; Venturiales; Sympoventuriaceae
Description: partial large subunit ribosomal RNA
Rfam family: Eukaryotic large subunit ribosomal RNA
Source: RNAcentral